Brassica napus (rape) is the source of this 930-nucleotide long non-coding RNA. RefSeq lists it as uncharacterized. The record is from RefSeq and is a predicted model, not a curated record. The transcript is spliced from 5 exons. Lineage: Eukaryota; Viridiplantae; Streptophyta; Magnoliopsida; Brassicales; Brassicaceae.
AGGUGCAAGAUUGGCUUUACAUGGACGGAGAAGAAGCUAUUGCCACUGAGUUUCAGGAGCGACUUGACUCACUAAAAGCCAUUGGCAGUCCCAUAUCAUUGCUAGGAGCUUACAUCAUGACCAGUAGGAGUUGACUACACUCAAAAAUACCUAACCGAAGUGAAAGGGAUCAUAAAAGAGUGGGAGACGAACAAAACUUGGCUCCCGAAAGUAAAAAUCGACGAGGUGUCAAGGGAAGCAGAGAAGGUAAAAAGCUGGUUGAAGAAGAAUGCCGUUGAGCAGUAAAAGAGUGCUCUGUGGAGCAAACCAGUGUUCGCGUCAGACAUUUAAAACAAACUCUGCACUUGUAUCUCAGAUGGCAACCAAAAAUCUGCUUCUACUCAAUGAAGGGGAAAGUGGAUUAUCAACAGUAUCUUCUACCGAAAUGGUUGAUGCCGCAAACGUAGGAUUGGGUGGUGAGCUAGAUAGCACAUCCGGAAAAUGUAAACAGCGAAAACAAUUGCAAGCCUUGCCGUGAGUGAUAAGAUACUAUAAAUUCCAGCAGACUUAGAGCACCAUUAAUGGGUGUGCUUAAGAGAAUGCUUAGGGGUGGGUCCCACCAUAAGAGAGGAAAAAGCGAUGCCAAAAAUGCCAGAUUAAGCAUCGAGUCUUGCACUGUUUUGCGGAUCCCACUGACAUAUGGCGGUCCGCGAUCGGUUUAUUUUUUUUUAACAAAAAACCAAAAAAAAAAAAAAUUAAGCUCCAUUUGGGAUGCUAGGGUGAAUGAUGCUCUUAUCAACCCCACUUUCAUUUCCUGGUUUUUUAAAUUUAAUAUCCUAUGUUUUCAUAUGGAUUUCGGCUUUCAGGCCUUACGUCGAUAAAACCAAAAAAAAUUGUGUUUGUGGGAAUAAUAUAACUUCAGUUUAAGCCAAAGGCCCUAAACAAACUCAA